RNAcentral lists this ribosomal RNA (252 nucleotides) under uncultured bacterium. RNAcentral describes it as "partial 16S ribosomal RNA". It matches the Rfam family "Bacterial small subunit ribosomal RNA", at positions 15 to 257 of the family's 1533-position model. The record is from RNAcentral.
GAUCAUGGCUCAGGAUGAACGCUAGCGGCAGGCUUAACACAUGCAAGUCGGAGGGGCAGCAUAAUGGUAGUAAUACUAUUGAUGGCGACCGGGCGGACGGGUGCGUAACGCGUAUGCAACCUACCCUUUACAGGGGGAUAACACUGAGAAAUCGGUUACUAAUACCCCAUAAUAUUCUGGGAGGCAUCUUUCGGAGUUGAAAGCUUUGGUGGUAAAGGAUGGGCAUGCGUUGUAGUUAGCUAGUUGGUAAGG